UGGGGAAUAUUGCACAAUGGAGGGAACUCUGAUGCAGCGACGCCGCGUGAGUGAUGAAGGACUUCGUUUCGUAAAACUCUGUUCUAUGGGAAGAAAAGGACUGUACCAUAGGAGAAAGCUCCGGCUAAAUACGUGCCAGCAGCCGCGGUAAUACGUAUGGAGCGAGCGUUGUCCGGAAUUAUUGGGCGUAAAGGGUGCGCAGGCGGCUUUACAAGUUGGAUGUGAAAUAUUGUGGCUCAACCACAAACGUGCAUCCAAAACUGCAAAGCUUGAGUUAAGGAGAGGUAAGUGGAAUUCCUGGUGUAGCGGUGGAAUGCGUAGAUAUCAGGAGGAAUACCGGUGGCGAAGGCGACUUACUGGACUUAAACUGACGCUAAGGCACGAAAGCGUGGGGAGCAAGCAGG
Molecule: ribosomal RNA, 404 nt
Filed under: Fusobacteriota bacterium
Lineage: Bacteria; Fusobacteriati; Fusobacteriota
Description: Fusobacteria bacterium partial 16S ribosomal RNA
Rfam family: Bacterial small subunit ribosomal RNA
Source: RNAcentral